GGGCUCUCAAAGGGCCUUGCAUCUCCAGCGUCGGCGUCCACGACGCCGGGGACCAGCGACCAUGCGGCCACUUUCCUGUUGCGCUCUCGUCCGUCUCCACAAUUUGUGCAGACCAAAGACAAAGUAAGAGUGUGCUGAAAGAAGAAAUUGACCUACUUAAGGUGGAACCAAACGAAAGCGAAGUGGAUCUAGAAAGAAGCAUUUAACGACUGGCCGCACCAGACCAAACCGUAGCAGAACUCAACUGAAGGCAACUGCGGGCCCGCGGCCGCAAUGAGUCAACAGAUGAAGUGUUUGAGAAGACAAAUUAUUAUUCUUUGGGGAGAGUGCAUAAAUCUUCGAUAAGCGAAGGAAUGCAGUCUAUCAGAUGAUGAAAAGCAGAAGGAAUCCCUUCUCAGAGAGUGAAAUCCAAAACUGGUGCUUUCAAAUAUUUCAAGAUCUGAUUUACAUGCAUUCGCAUGGAUAUUUCCAAUGCGACCUUAAUCCUGAUAUGUGGUUUUGCAUUUUUUUUACAAACAAUAUUGCAAUGGUUGAUCUAUGAUUCCUGUUUGUUGUGAAACAAGUUUCUAGCCCCAACCAUUUUCACAUGACAUUUUAGAUAAGAAAAUAGUUCUCCAUAUAGCUCAAUCUUCAUGUUUAAAAUAUCAUGUGUAUUUGACUGGAGGGACUAUCAGUUAUAAGCCCAAGAAUAGCUGCCUUGCAAUUUUCCUA
This is an RNA transcript of Zea mays, 711 nucleotides long. It is a transcript of the gene named protein kinase pseudogene, with no coding region annotated. NCBI's taxonomy places the organism in Eukaryota, Viridiplantae, Streptophyta, Magnoliopsida, Poales, Poaceae. The record is from RefSeq and is marked validated. The transcript is spliced from 5 exons.